RNAcentral lists this ribosomal RNA (2887 nucleotides) under Klebsiella pneumoniae. Its description in RNAcentral is "23S ribosomal RNA". It matches the Rfam family "Bacterial large subunit ribosomal RNA". The record is from RNAcentral. Lineage: Bacteria; Pseudomonadati; Pseudomonadota; Gammaproteobacteria; Enterobacterales; Enterobacteriaceae.
GGUUAAGCGACUAAGCGUACACGGUGGAUGCCCUGGCAGUCAGAGGCGAUGAAGGACGUGCUAAUCUGCGAAAAGCGUCGGUAAGGUGAUAUGAACCGUUAUAACCGGCGAUGUCCGAAUGGGGAAACCCAGUGUGAUUCGUCACACUAUCGUUAACUGAAUACAUAGGUUAACGAGGCGAACCGGGGAACUGAAACAUCUAAGUACCCCGAGGAAAAGAAAUCAACCGAGAUUCCCCAGUAGCGGCGAGCGAACGGGGAGCAGCCCAGAGUCUGAAUCAGCUUGUGUGUUAGUGGAACGGUCUGGAAAGUCCGACGGUACAGGGUGAUAGUCCCGUACACCAAAAUGCACAGGUUGUGAACUCGAAGAGUAGGGCGGGACACGUGGUAUCCUGUCUGAAUAUGGGGACCAUCCUCCAAGGCUAAAUACUCCUGACUGACCGAUAGUGAACCAGUACCGUGAGGGAAAGGCGAAAAGAACCCCGGCGAGGGAGUGAAAAAGAACCUGAAACCGUGUACGUACAAGCAGUGGGAGCACCUUCGGGUGUGACUGCGUACCUUUGUAUAAUGGGUCAGCGACUUAUAUUCUGUAGCAAGGUUAACCGUAUAGGGAGCCGCAGGGAAACCGAGUCUUAACUGGGCGUUAAGUUGCAGGGUAUAGACCCGAAACCCGGUGAUCUAGCCAUGGGCAGGUUGAAGGUUGGGUAACACUAACUGGAGGACCGAACCGACUAAUGUUGAAAAAUUAGCGGAUGACUUGUGGCUGGGGUGAAAGGCCAAUCAAACCGGGAGAUAGCUGGUUCUCCCGAAAGCUAUUUAGGUAGCGCCUCGUGAAUUCAUCUUCGGGGUAGAGCACUGUUUCGGCUAGGGGUCAUCCCGACUUACCAACCCGAUGCAAACUACGAAUACCGAAGAAUGUUAUCACGGGAGACACACGGCGGGUGCUAACGUCCGUCGUGAAGAGGGAAACAACCCAGACCGCCAGCUAAGGUCCCAAAGUCAUGGUUAAGUGGGAAACGAUGUGGGAAGGCACAGACAGCCAGGAUGUUGGCUUAGAAGCAGCCAUCAUUUAAAGAAAGCGUAAUAGCUCACUGGUCGAGUCGGCCUGCGCGGAAGAUGUAACGGGGCUAAACCAUGCACCGAAGCUGCGGCAGCGACACUAUGUGUUGUUGGGUAGGGGAGCGUUCUGUAAGCCUGCGAAGGUGACCUGUGAGGGUUGCUGGAGGUAUCAGAAGUGCGAAUGCUGACAUAAGUAACGAUAAAGCGGGUGAAAAGCCCGCUCGCCGGAAGACCAAGGGUUCCUGUCCAACGUUAAUCGGGGCAGGGUGAGUCGACCCUAAGGCGAGGCCGAAAGGCGUAGUCGAUGGGAAACAGGUUAAUAUUCCUGUACUUGGUGUUACUGCGAAGGGGGACGGAGAAGGCUAUGUUAGCCGGGCGACGGUUGUCCCGGUUUAAGCAUGUAGGCUGGUUAUCCAGGCAAAUCCGGAUAAUCAAGGCUGAGGUGUGAUGACGAGGCACUACGGUGCUGAAGUAACAAAUGCCCUGCUUCCAGGAAAAGCCUCUAAGCAUCAGGUAACAUCAAAUCGUACCCCAAACCGACACAGGUGGUCAGGUAGAGAAUACCAAGGCGCUUGAGAGAACUCGGGUGAAGGAACUAGGCAAAAUGGUGCCGUAACUUCGGGAGAAGGCACGCUGGUGUGUAGGUGAAGUCCCUGCGGAUGGAGCUGAGACCAGUCGAAGAUACCAGCUGGCUGCAACUGUUUAUUAAAAACACAGCACUGUGCAAACACGAAAGUGGACGUAUACGGUGUGACGCCUGCCCGGUGCCGGAAGGUUAAUUGAUGGGGUUAUCCGUAAGGAGAAGCUCUUGAUCGAAGCCCGGUAAACGGCGGCCGUAACUAUAACGGUCCUAAGGUAGCGAAAUUCCUUGUCGGGUAAGUUCCGACCUGCACGAAUGGCGUAAUGAUGGCCAGGCUGUCUCCACCCGAGACUCAGUGAAAUUGAACUCGCUGUGAAGAUGCAGUGUACCCGCGGCAAGACGGAAAGACCCCGUGAACCUUUACUAUAGCUUGACACUGAACAUUGAGCCUUGAUGUGUAGGAUAGGUGGGAGGCUUUGAAGCGUGGACGCCAGUCUGCGUGGAGCCAACCUUGAAAUACCACCCUUUAAUGUUUGAUGUUCUAACGUUGGCCCCUGACCGGGGUUGCGGACAGUGUCUGGUGGGUAGUUUGACUGGGGCGGUCUCCUCCCAAAGCGUAACGGAGGAGCACGAAGGUUAGCUAAUCCUGGUCGGACAUCAGGAGGUUAGUGCAAUGGCAUAAGCUAGCUUGACUGCGAGCGUGACGGCGCGAGCAGGUGCGAAAGCAGGUCAUAGUGAUCCGGUGGUUCUGAAUGGAAGGGCCAUCGCUCAACGGAUAAAAGGUACUCCGGGGAUAACAGGCUGAUACCGCCCAAGAGUUCAUAUCGACGGCGGUGUUUGGCACCUCGAUGUCGGCUCAUCACAUCCUGGGGCUGAAGUAGGUCCCAAGGGUAUGGCUGUUCGCCAUUUAAAGUGGUACGCGAGCUGGGUUUAGAACGUCGUGAGACAGUUCGGUCCCUAUCUGCCGUGGGCGCUGGAGAAUUGAGGGGGCUGCUCCUAGUACGAGAGGACCGGAGUGGACGCAUCACUGGUGUUCGGGUUGUCAUGCCAAUGGCACUGCCCGGUAGCUAAAUGCGGAAGAGAUAAGUGCUGAAAGCAUCUAAGCACGAAACUUGCCCCGAGAUGAGUUCUCCCUGAGACUUUAAGUCUCCUGAAGGAACGUUGAAGACGACGACGUUGAUAGGCCGGGUGUGUAAGCGCAGCGAUGCGUUGAGCUAACCGGUACUAAUGAACCGUGAGGCUUAACCUU